Molecule: ribosomal RNA, 374 nt
Filed under: uncultured bacterium
Lineage: Bacteria
Description: bacterial SSU rRNA
Rfam family: Bacterial small subunit ribosomal RNA
Source: RNAcentral
CCUAACACAUGCAAGUCGAACGGUAACAGGAAGAAGCUUGCUUCUUUGCUGACGAGUGGCGGACGGGUGAGUAAUGUCUGGGAAACUGCCUGAUGGAGGGGGAUAACUACUGGAAACGGUAGCUAAUACCGCAUAACGUCGCAAGACCAAAGAGGGGGACCUUCGGGCCUCUUGCCAUCGGAUGUGCCCAGAUGGGAUUAGCUAGUAGGUGGGGUAACGGCUCACCUAGGCGACGAUCCCUAGCUGGUCUGAGAGGAUGACCAGCCACACUGGAACUGAGACACGGUCCAGACUCCUACGGGAGGCAGCAGUGGGGAAUAUUGCACAAUGGGCGCAAGCCUGAUGCAGCCAUGCCGCGUGUAUGAAGAAGGCCU